This 444-nucleotide ribosomal RNA is filed under the name uncultured bacterium. Its description in RNAcentral is "partial 16S ribosomal RNA". It matches the Rfam family "Bacterial small subunit ribosomal RNA", at positions 339 to 795 of the family's 1533-position model. The record is from RNAcentral.
CUACGGGUGGCUGCAGUGGGGAAUAUUGCACAAUGGGCGCAAGCCUGAUGCAGCAACGCCGCGUGAGGGAUGAAGGCCUUCGGGUUGUAAACCUCUUUUAGCAGGGAAGAAGCGAAAGUGACGGUACCUGCAGAAAAAGCACCGGCUAACUACGUGCCAGCAGCCGCGGUAAUACGUAGGGUGCAAGCGUUGUCCGGAAUUAUUGGGCGUAAAGAGCUCGUAGGCGGUUUGUCACGUCUGCUGUGAAAAUCCAAGGCUCAACCUUGGACUUGCAGUGGGUACGGGCAGGCUAGAGUGCGGUAGGGGGGAUGGGAAUUCCUGGUGUAGCGGUGGAAUGCGCAGAUAUCAGGAGGAACACCAAUGGCGAAGGCACAUCUCUGGGCCGUAACUGACGCUGAGGAGCGAAAGCGUGGGGAGCGAACAGGAUUAGAUACCCGCGUAGUC